This 303-nucleotide ribosomal RNA is filed under the name uncultured bacterium. RNAcentral's name for it is "bacterial SSU rRNA". It matches the Rfam family "Bacterial small subunit ribosomal RNA", at positions 28 to 325 of the family's 1533-position model. The record is from RNAcentral.
GACGAACGCUGGCGGCGCGCUUAACACAUGCAAGUCGAGCGAGAACCAGCCCUUCGGGGCUGGGGACAGCGGCGAACGGGUGAGUAACACGUGGGUAAUCUGCCCUCGGCACCGGGAUAGCCCGGGGAAACCCGGAUUAAUACCGGAUGGCCUUUCGAGCCCUCGGGCUUGAGAGAAAAGGUAGCUUUGGCCUCUGGCCGAGGAUGAGCCCGCGGCCGAUUAGCUUGUUGUGAGGUAANGGCCCACCAAGGCGACGAUCGGUAGCUGGUCUGAGAGGACGAUCAGCCACACUGGGACUGAGAC